This 526-nucleotide unclassified non-coding RNA is filed under the name Hevea brasiliensis (rubber tree). Lineage: Eukaryota; Viridiplantae; Streptophyta; Magnoliopsida; Malpighiales; Euphorbiaceae. The record is from RNAcentral.
AGAGAGAGAGUGGUGGGGGGAAGAAAAUUAAAGCUUCCCUUCAACUCUAGUUCAACAGGCUUCUCCUAAGAUGCUAUUUUUCAUCUCCUGAAAUAAUGCCAAUAUAUUUUAGGUGAUGGACCCAAUAUUUCAAGCCCUUUCUGGGGAAAAACUUGAUUAAUAUGGAAUAUAGUUUGGUAGAUAAACUUUGCAAGUAGAUAGUUACAUAUACUAUAAUCAAGGAGGUGUGCCCCAACAGAUAGCCUUACUGUUAAAACUUCGUAGUUUUACUGGAGGUUGCAUGUUUCAACUGUUAGAAUGGUGAUAGGAGCAGUAUAUGGGAUAGGGGAGGGUACCCUUAUUGGGCACAACUGGAUAAAUAAAACUAAAUUGAGAAUAAUUAAAUGAAGAAAUGACUAGGUGCAGUCGAACCUCAUGAUCGGAUGUCAAAGGUAGGUUAUUAUCUUAUUAUUAAAGGUUUUUGUUUUUAGAAUGUUGGAAACAGGUAUAGUUCGGCUUUUAGUUAGCAUUAUGAGUGAAAUUUAUA